AACGAACGCUGGCGGCAUGCCUAACACAUGCAAGUCGAACGAGACCUUCGGGUCUAGUGGCGCACGGGUGCGUAACGCGUGGGAACCUGCCCUUAGGUUCGGAAUAACUCCCCGAAAGGGGUGCUAAUACCGGAUAAUGUCUUCGGACCAAAGAUUUAUCGCCUUUGGAUGGGCCCGCGUUGGAUUAGCUAGUUGGUAGGGUAAAAGCCUACCAAGGCGACGAUCCAUAGCUGGUCUGAGAGGAUGAUCAGCCACACUGGGACUGAGACACGGCCCAGACUCCUACGGAAUGCAGCAGUGUGGAAUAUUGGAAUAUUAGCGAUGGGCUGAUCCAUCCAUGCCGCGUGAAUGAUGAAGGCCUUAGGGUUGUAAAGCUCUUUUACCCGGGAUGAUAAUGACAGUACCGGGAGAAUAAGCUCCGGCUAACUCCGUG
This 433-nucleotide ribosomal RNA is filed under the name uncultured bacterium. Its description in RNAcentral is "partial 16S ribosomal RNA". It matches the Rfam family "Bacterial small subunit ribosomal RNA", at positions 29 to 507 of the family's 1533-position model. The record is from RNAcentral.